This 543-nucleotide ribosomal RNA is filed under the name uncultured bacterium. Its description in RNAcentral is "bacterial SSU rRNA". It matches the Rfam family "Bacterial small subunit ribosomal RNA", at positions 8 to 524 of the family's 1533-position model. The record is from RNAcentral.
AGGGUUUGAUUAUGGCUCAGGAUGAACGCUGGCGGCAUGCCUAAUACAUGCAAGUCGAACGGACUACACCAUGAACUUGAAGUGCUUGCACGGAUUGGAAUUGGAUUUUGUAGUCAGUGGCGGACGGGUGAGUAACACGUGGGUUACCUGCCACACAGUAUGGAAUAACUAUUGGAAACGAUAGCUAAUACCGUAUAUGACCUUCGGGUUGAAAGGAGCGUUUGCUUCGCUGUGUGAUGGGCCUGCGGCGCAUUAGCUAGUUGGUACGGUAAAGGCGUACCAAGGCGACGAUGCGUAGCCGGAGUGAGAGCUCGAUCGGCCACAUUGGGACUGAGACACGGCCCAAACUUCUACGGGAGGCAGCAGUAGGGAAUUUUCCGCAAUGGACGAAAGUCUGACGGAGCAAUGCCGCGUGAGUGAUGAAGGUUUUCGAAUCGUAAAGCUCUGUUGUAAGGGAAGAAUAGCACUGAUAGGAAAUGAUCAGUGUCUGACGGUACCUUACCAGAAAGCCACGGCUAACUACGUGCCAGCAGCCGCGGUAAU